CAGCAGCCACGGUAACACGGAGGGUGCAAGCGUUAUCCGGAUUUAUUGGGUUUAAAGGGUCCGUAGGCGGAUCUGUAAGUCAGUGGUGAAAUCUCACAGCUUAACUGUGAAACUGCCAUUGAUACUGCAGGUCUUGAGUAAAUUUGAAGUGGCUGGAAUAAGUAGUGUAGCGGUGAAAUGCAUAGAUAUUACUUAGAACACCAAUUGCGAAGGCAGGUCACUAAGAUUUAACUGACGCUGAUGGACGAAAGCGUGGGGAGCGAACAGGAUUAGAUACCCGUGUAGUCCCUGUCUCUUAUAC
RNAcentral lists this ribosomal RNA (301 nucleotides) under uncultured bacterium. RNAcentral's name for it is "partial 16S ribosomal RNA". It matches the Rfam family "Bacterial small subunit ribosomal RNA", at positions 509 to 807 of the family's 1533-position model. The record is from RNAcentral.